Long non-coding RNA from Manis pentadactyla (Chinese pangolin), 746 nucleotides. RefSeq lists it as uncharacterized. The record is from RefSeq and is a predicted model, not a curated record. The transcript is spliced from 2 exons. NCBI's taxonomy places the organism in Eukaryota, Metazoa, Chordata, Mammalia, Pholidota, Manidae.
AGAACCUCAGGAUUUAUACUGGUACCUCAGGUCUCUUAUGUGAUGGAGCUUUCAGAGAUGGAAUAAUUGGCUCAGUAUAUAUACAGUGCCACCCAGUAGUCACUGUAACCUUAGAAAGGGUGAGAGAAUUAAGCAAGAUGGGAGCCAGGGGCCUCAACGCACAAGGCAAGGAGACCUCUUAUGCACCAGUUCACACACUCUUGUCCUCACCUCUAUGCCCAGCCAUAGUUUUGGUGAACAGUUUUGUACAGGUUUUGACCUGCUUCAGGCUGACAGCACCUCCAUGCAUGUACACCUUGCUUUGCCUUCAGUUUUUGCCCCAGGUCUUCUCUGAUGCCUGUGACAGCCUGCUCAGCAUUCAUGCAUGAGAAACACAGAAAUAUGGGGACAAUUAACAGCCAAUGGGGCAAACCUCAGCUCUCCAGUGGCAAGACCUAAACGGAGCCUUUGUUCAGUAUUUGGCACAUUGUUCCCAAGGCGGCAAUGGUCCAUUUUGAAGAGACACAUGACACCCUCAAGGAAACUGGACUGAGGAGCAGGACCGGCCCGUGCAGGAGAAACAGAGCAGUGGUGUGUUCUUUCCCCGGGCGAGGCUACUCCCUGCAUGCCAGGAUGCUUCUACCAAACAAAGGUCCUUUGGAAAAGAAAAAGCAGCCCCUGGCUGGUCUUGGUUAUGAGCAGCCUCUUCUAUGUGCAAGGUGGUUGUGAGAAAUUGGCUCUUAUUAAAUGUCAGAUAAUUGUGUUGA